Molecule: ribosomal RNA, 513 nt
Filed under: uncultured bacterium
Lineage: Bacteria
Description: bacterial SSU rRNA
Rfam family: Bacterial small subunit ribosomal RNA
Source: RNAcentral
AGUUUGAUCCUGGCUCAAGAACAAACGCUGGCGGCGUGUCUUAAGCAUGCAAGUUGAGCGGCAAGGAGGAGAGAUCCUCCCUAGAGCAGCGGACUGGUGAGUAACGCGUGGGUAAUCUAUCUUAGGCAUGGGGAUAGUCACUAGAAAUAGUGGGUAAUACCGAAUAAGUUCCAUAAGGGGAGGACUUAUGGAAGAAAAGGUGCUACGGCACUGGCCUUAGGUGAGCUCGCGUCCCAUUAGCUAGUUGGUGAGGUAAAGGCCCACCAAGGCGAUGAUGGGUAGCCGGCCUGAGAGGGUGUACGGCCACACUGGGACUGAGAUACGGCCCAGACUCCUACGGGAGGCAGCAGCUAAGAAUAUUCCGCAAUGGACGGAAGUCUGACGGAGCGACGCCGCGUGGAUGAAGAAGGCCGAAAGGUUGUAAAGUUCUUUUGCUAGGGGAGAAUAAGUGUGGGAGGGAAUGCCUGCACGAUGACAAGGACUAGCGAAUAAGUCCCGGCCAAACUACGUGCC